Molecule: transfer RNA, 109 nt
Rfam family: tRNA
About the family: Transfer RNA (tRNA) molecules are approximately 80 nucleotides in length. Their secondary structure includes four short double-helical elements and three loops (D, anti-codon, and T loops).
Source: Rfam
GGGCGUGUGGUCUAGUGGUAUGAUUCUCGCUUUGGGCGAACAUGGAUAAAAUCCGUGUGAACAAUCACAAGCAUGCGAGAGGCCCUGGGUUCAAUUCCCAGCUCGCCCC